CUCCCGGAUGUUAGCGGCGGACGGGUGAGUAACACGUGGGUAACCUGCCUGUAAGACUGGGAUAACUCCGGGAAACCGGAGCUAAUACCGGAUAGUUCCUUGAACCGCAUGGUUCAAGGAUGAAAGACGGUUUCGGCUGUCACUUACAGAUGGACCCGCGGCGCAUUAGCUAGUUGGUGAGGUAACGGCUCACCAAGGCGACGAUGCGUAGCCGACCUGAGAGGGUGAUCGGCCACACUGGGACUGAGACACGGCCCAGACUCCUACGGGAGGCAGCAGUAGGGAAUCUUCCGCAAUGGACGAAAGUCUGACGGAGCAACGCCGCGUGAGUGAUGAAGGUUUUCGGAUCGUAAAGCUCUGUUGUUAGGGAAGAACAAGUGCAAGAGUAACUGCUUGCACCUUGACGGUACCUAACCAGAAAGCCACGGCUAACUACGUGCCAGCAGCCGCGGUAAUACGUAGGUGGCAAGCGUUGUCCGGAAAUUAUUGGGCGUAAAGGGCUCGCAGGCGGUUUCUUAAGUCUGAUGUGAAAGCCCCCGGCUCAACCGGGGAGGGUCAUUGGAAACUGGGAAACUUGAGUGCAGAAGAGGAGAGUGGAAUUCCACGUGUAGCGGUGAAAUGCGUAGAGAUGUGGAGGAACACCAGUGGCGAAGGCGACUCUCUGGUCUGUAACUGACGCUGAGGAGCGAAAGCGUGGGGAGCGAACAGGAUUAGAUACCCUGGUAGUCCACGCCGUAAACGAUGAGUGCUAAGUGUUAGGGGGGUUUCCGCCCCUUAGUGCUGCAGCUAACGCAUUAAGCACUCCGCCUGGGGAGUACGGUCGCAAGACUGAAACUCAAAGGAAUUGACGGGGGCCCGCACAAGCGGUGGAGCAUGUGGUUUAAUUCGAAGCAACGCGAAGAACCUUACCAGGUCUUGACAUCCUCUGACAACCCUAGAGAUAGGGCUUUCCCUUCGGGGACAGAGUGACAGGUGGUGCAUGGUUGUCGUCAGCUCGUGUCGUGAGAUGUUGGGUUAAGUCCCGCAACGAGCGCAACCCUUGAUCUUAGUUGCCAGCAUUCAGUUGGGCACUCUAAGGUGACUGCCGGUGACAAACCGGAGGAAGGUGGGGAUGACGUCAAAUCAUCAUGCCCCUUAUGACCUGGGCUACACACGUGCUACAAUGGACAGAACAAAGGGCUGCGAGACCGCAAGGUUUAGCCAAUCCCACAAAUCUGUUCUCAGUUCGGAUCGCAGUCUGCAACUCGAC
RNAcentral lists this ribosomal RNA (1249 nucleotides) under Bacillus pumilus. RNAcentral's name for it is "bacterial SSU rRNA". It matches the Rfam family "Bacterial small subunit ribosomal RNA", at positions 82 to 1316 of the family's 1533-position model. The record is from RNAcentral. Lineage: Bacteria; Bacillati; Bacillota; Bacilli; Caryophanales; Bacillaceae.